CGUGUUUCUAAACUUCUUGUGCUGUGUUGAAGCUCAUUUAAGCGUUUAAACUCUUGUAUUGUGGGCAAAAUGGAAAUCAACAAACAAUCAUCUGUCGCUGACAUUAUUCUUUUUUUGAAAAACAACAAAUUGGAUGAAAUUGUCGAAGAUUUUAAAGGUAUUGUCUCAUCCUGAAAUGUAGGUCGCAUGUGUGAGGGUUGUUGUCUCGUGCAUAAAUCUAGUGUAGAAAAUAAUUCAAAAUUAGAUUUAUAGAUGACUUGCCUUGUUUACGUUUUGCUAGCAGGCAGAUUUGGUCGAGCGCUUUUAGAGAAUACCAACAGCAAUAACGUAAUUUCAUUGACGUUUUGCUUCUUAUAUUUUUAAAGCUAAUCAAGUCGACGGCGAGGAUUUUUUCAAUUUAGAACCACAUGAUAUUUAUCAGAUGAUUCCUCGAAUAAAACUUCCCAAGAAGUUUACGUGUAUUUGGAAUGACGUUACUCAAAAGGGGUCAUCAGCUUCAACAACACACUCUUAUGUCACUUCCAACAACAUCAGAACCAUCAACAAGGAUGUGAAUCCAGACAUUCCGAGUAAUUCAGCUGAUCAACAAGAAAAUCAUGAUGAGGGCUUGUCAGAAUCAGCUUGAACAGUGCACUCGCACAUCUAUUCAAGCCACAUAAGAACCAUCAACUUGGAUGUAAAUGAAGACAUUGUUCUUAGUACUUCAGCUGAUCAUCAAAAUGAUGAGAACAUUGCACCAGAGAGACAUCUCAAGGACAAUGUUCCAAGGAGUCCCUUGACAGCUAAUGUGAACAAUUCCAAUUGGUUGUCCAAGUUUUGUUUGCCAACAAGAUGAGAACCAGCAGUGGAGGAGGCAUAAAAAAGGCAGGAACUAAAUCCCAAUGAAAAAAAUGCAUUAAAGAGGCGAUUAACUUCUUCAAUUUUGGCACAUAAUGAAUCGCCAACUGUUCAUGAAAGAAAACACAUUGCUCUUAUGUUAAUUCAAAAGUAUCCAUUCUUAAAGGGAUCAUUUGGUUCUGGUCAUCAACUAUGGGCAAACAAAAUAGCAGACCGAGUCCUUAAUAUGCAAAGAAGAGCAUCCCGAGCUCAAAAGCAAAGUACGCGGUGGCCCAAAGGGAAAACCUGGUAGGAAAAGUAGGAAAUCAGCUUGCAAUUCUCUCUCAUCUCUUCCAGAAGGUGAAACAGAAGCAGCUAUUGUAAUUCAACAAAAGCAGUUGGUUGAAAUGUUUAAUAUUGGCUCGCAAGACAUGAGCAAGAUCAAUGUGUUGAUGAACAAUACCUUUGCUCAUCGGCGUAGAGACAUUUUCGUGAACAAUACAAGGGCUUGGAAGCUUCUGCAUGACUACCUUUUUUCAAACACACCAAGGGAGUUGAAAAUGCAAAAGUGGAAAUAAGGAAUAUUUCAAAACGUAUCUUGGUCGUGCAGAACUUCUCGCUGGCUGGCAGGGAAGGUAGGAUUCGAAGUUAGAUGCACCUGUUAUAUAUUUUCCCUUUCUAAGGUUUUGACAAAUCGGGUCAAUUUAUUUUUUCGCCAUUUGUUGUUAUCGUCGUGUAUUUAGUAUUGUCGUAAAUACACCACAAAGAUUGCCGAAGUUAGCGAGAAUUAACUUUGCCGUUUUUCCGGUUUAUGGGUGAUUGUUCGUAGCUAAGUAGCUAUAAUUGUUAAAACAUGGUUUGACCAUGUUCUGAUUGAAAUUUCGAUGAAGUAUUUGUAUUUCAAAUAUUUCCAAGUUAGAUUCUAAGAAACAAAAGUUUGUUUUUUGUGUGCAAUAUUUAUGCAUGCUUAUUAAAUUAAAAAUCACUCCAACAACGGUUGGUGAUCGGCUCUUUUUUGAGUUUCAAUCAAAAGUUUAUCGUCAGAAUCGUUCACUGCAUAAGGGAAUAGACCGAAAUUGAAUUUGACAAAAAAAAAUACGUUUA
Molecule: long non-coding RNA, 1920 nt
Organism: Xenia sp. Carnegie-2017
Lineage: Eukaryota; Metazoa; Cnidaria; Anthozoa; Malacalcyonacea; Xeniidae
Exons: 7
Source: RefSeq, a predicted model, not a curated record